GACGAACGCUGGCGGCGUGCUUAACACAUGCAAGUCGAACGGAAAGGCCCUGCUUGCAGGGUACUCGAGUGGCGAACGGGUGAGUAACACGUGGGUGAUCUGCCCUGCACUUCGGGAUAAGCCUGGGAAACUGGGUCUAAUACCGGAUAGGAGCCAUUUUUAGUGUGAUGGUUGGAAAGUUUUUUCGGUGUAGGAUGAGCUCGCGGCCUAUCAGCUUGUUGGUGGGGUAAUGGCCUACCAAGGCGGCGACGGGUAGCCGGCCUGAGAGGGUGGACGGCCACAUUGGGACUGAGAUACGGCCCAGACUCCUACGGGAGGCAGCAGUGGGGAAUAUUGCACAAUGGGCGCAAGCCUGAUGCAGCGACGCCGCGUGGGGGAUGACGGCCUUCGGGUUGUAAACUCCUUUUGCUAGGGACGAAGCUUUUUGUGACGGUACCUAGAUAAGAAGCACCGGCUAACUACGUG
Molecule: ribosomal RNA, 465 nt
Filed under: uncultured bacterium
Lineage: Bacteria
Description: partial 16S ribosomal RNA
Rfam family: Bacterial small subunit ribosomal RNA
Source: RNAcentral